Varroa destructor (honeybee mite) is the source of this 1873-nucleotide RNA transcript. RefSeq lists it as uncharacterized. Lineage: Eukaryota; Metazoa; Arthropoda; Arachnida; Mesostigmata; Varroidae. The record is from RefSeq and is a predicted model, not a curated record.
UGUAGAGCGUCGCUUUUGGUCGACAAACAACACGAAACAGCCCCCGAAGUCGUAACUCACAUUCCGUCCUCCUUAAAUUUGUGCUGUUCAGUAGGGAUACGUGAACAAGCUUUUCAGAAAUUUCGUCAGGUGCCGUAUGAUAAGGGAGUUACAGGGUAGCUUAAUGUUCUCUUAUCUUACCCAGUGCAACAGAGACCAGCUUACAAGUCGCAUUAGCCAAUGGACAUCGUCAGCGUGGUCUCGGGUAACUUACAGGCGUUGCGCACAUAGGGCAACGUAGGAUCUUCUCAAAUCACCACCUCCUGGCGGUACCACUAUCGAAGAGCUGUUACUUCUCUGCUAUGAAAGAUAGUAACGCGACAAUGGACGCAGACGAAGGAAGACCUAUGCGAUGCGUUGAGGUUACGAAAAACUACGGCUGGAAAAGACAGAAAAAAGACCUGCGGACAUUGAAAUCAGCGUUUGUCGUUGCCAUUGUUGUCUCCACUGGUGCUAUGGGUUUGCCUCCAGCCAGCGCUUCAAAGCGUCUUACGGCCUCUGCAUUUCCAUUGAGGCGUGUCGGAACGAGUGCAAGCAUAAUUUCUCAAAGGAGAAAGCCAGUGUCCCCUUUCAUCCCCUCUUGGUCUUUCCGGCCGGUUCCAAACGCGAAUGAAACUUUUAUAGUUCGUCGAGUGAGCAUGCACAGUGAGCACGUGUCAGAGGAAAGGACCAUGAGGAUAUCUUCAAUUUCUUCUUUGUGGUCCUAUCUGGAACACUCUGGCUGAGGCGCGCGGGCGCGUUUCGUAAAGUUUCUCACCAAAACUCUGUGACGCUCUACAGACAACGCCGGUUGCCUGGACUUUGGGCCGCCCGCUUGCUGCUUGCGAUGAUAGAAUUGCUUGACUCCGAGUUGGCGAAGAUUUCCCAACGACGAAAAGCGGCCGUGUUCCAAUUGAGUUAAUUUAUCUGGGGAGCAAGUUUGAUCCGGCGAAGCGUCAAAAGGAUCUACUUCAUUCGAUGGAUUCCUGUUGUGCAUUUUACCUGUUUCCUAAAUCCGGCGGAUCAGCUUCGUCCCUUUUUUGGCGUUGAAACAACUGGAGCAGCGUUCCUGACGGCUGGCCCUAGGGUACUGCGCUACCGCUGCUUCCGCCGCUGGAUGUUGGUAAACGCUGGCCGACGUUGGUGUCAUUUAGCGCAGUGCUAGAACGUGGAGACGAGAGAGGUGGAGCUGAGUACCGAAGCGCUGCAAGGUAAAAAGUAGCAUCUACCCUUGUACGGGGGCCUUCAAAGCACAGAAAACACCAUUACUACCGCGUUUUCUGACGUCUUCAUGUUCACGCAGCAAGAUACCACCCGCGGCAGCCGAAGGGACCGGAACAGAAGCAAAGGCAGCUACGCGGCAUCAGCGCUUCUAUGCAACAGUGAAAGAUGAGAGAACAGUGAAUGGUAAAGGACGAACAAAAAGAAGAGGGAGUUACGAAGAAAAAAAGGAACUCGUUUAGCCCCAAGGCAACAACUCGAGGUUGCAGCUUCCGUAGCCAGCCGCUUCUGCCAACGUCUCCAGUGGUCAACGCCACUGCUGCUACUAUUUCUGCGGUGUGCCCGACGGCCUCAAAUAGCGUCAGUUCACGCGUUGAGGACUUCGAAGGAGAGAAAAGCCAAGAGAGGGAGCUGGGGUAUUUAUUAUACAUACGGAAAAGAUCUGCUCGCUUUUGCCGGGAUCUCUCGCGCGUUUUCUACCGGUACCUGCUGCUGCGGCGACGGCAGCAAUAUCCCCGCACCCGCAAGGUUGCUGAUAUUAGGUUCAUCCGAACGCUUGAGGUCAUUGAAGGUAUUGGGCUGAUGCUAAUGCUACUGUCUGAACAGCUGUUCAUAGAAGCCGCGCUACAGGGUA